Molecule: ribosomal RNA, 1515 nt
Filed under: Mycoplasmatota bacterium
Lineage: Bacteria; Bacillati; Mycoplasmatota
Description: bacterial SSU rRNA
Rfam family: Bacterial small subunit ribosomal RNA
Source: RNAcentral
AGAGUUUGAUCCUGGCUCAGGAUGAACGCUGGCGGCAUGCCUAAUACAUGCAAGUCGAACGCACUAGUUUACUAGUGAGUGGCGAACGGGUGAGUAACACGUAGAUAACCAACCUAUUAGACGAGGAUAACCAAUGGAAACGUUGGCUAAUACUGGAUAGGAUGCAUAUUCAAAAGAGUGUGUAUUUAAAGGUAGCUUUCGGGCUAUGCUUUUAGAUGGGACUGCGUCGCAUUAGCUAGUUGGUGAGGGUAACGGCCCACCAAGGCAACGAUGCGUAGCUGAGCUGAGAGGCUGAACAGCCACACUGGGACUGAGACACGGCCCAGACUCCUACGGGAGGCAGCAGUAGGGAAUUUUCGGCAAUGGACGAAAGUCUGACCGAGCAAUGCCGCGUGAAUGAAGAAGAUCUUCGGAUUGUAAAAUUCUGUUAUUGGGAAAGAAAGUGCAUAUUAGGAAAUGAAUAUGUAUUGACGGUACCCAUUGAGGAAGCCCCGGCUAACUAUGUGCCAGCAGCCGCGGUAAUACAUAGGGGGCGAGCGUUAUCCGGAAUUAUUGGGCGUAAAGCGUGCGUAGGCGGAAUGUUAAGUCAUUUGUAAAAGAUCUCAGCCCAACUGAGUAAGGCGAAUGAAACUGGCAAUCUUGAGUACGGUAGAGGUAAGUGGAAUUCCAAGUGUAGCGGUGGAAUGCGUAGAUAUUUGGAGGAACACCGAUGGCGAAGGCAGCUUACUGGGCCGGAACUGACGCUGAGGCACGAAAGCGUGGGUAGCAAACAGGAUUAGAUACCCUGGUAGUCCACGCCGUAAACGAUGAGAACUAAGUGUCGGGGUAACACUCGGUGCUGAAGUUAACGCAAUAAGUUCUCCGCCUGGGUAGUACGGUCGCAAGACUGAAACUCAAAGGAAUUGACGGGAACCCGCACAAGCGGUGGAGUAUGUUGUUUAAUUCGAGGAUACACGAAGAACCUUACCAGGUCUUGACAUACCAUUGACCACUAUAGAGACAUAGUUUUCCCUUCGGGGACAAUGGAUACAGGUGGUGCAUGGUUGUCGUCAGCUCGUGCCGUGAGGUGUUGGGUUAAGUCCCAUAACGAGCGCAACCCUUAUUGCUAGUUGCUAAUAUUAAGUUAAGGACUCUAGCGAGACUGCCAGCGACAAGCUGGAGGAAGGUGGGGAUGACGUCAAAUCAUCAUGCCCUUUAUGACCUGGGCUACAAACGUACUACAAUGGCCAAGAACAAAGAGCAGCUAAGUCGCGAGAUGGAGCGAAACUCAGAAAAUUGGUCUCAGUUCGGAUUGGAGUCUGCAACUCGACUCCAUGAAGUUGGAAUCGCUAGUAAUCGCAAGUCAGCAGAUUGCGGUGAAUACGUUCCCGGGUUUUGUACACACCGCCCGUCAAACCACGAGAGUUUGUAACACCCGAAGCCGGUGGCCUUUAGGGGAGCCGUCGAAGGUGGGACAGAUGAUUGGGGUUAAGUCGUAACAAGGUAUCCCUACGGGAACGUGGGGAUGGAUCACCU